UUAAAAUUCUGAGCAGAGGGAAGACUUUUUUUUUACCAUGCAUGCGAGUGUUUCCCUGCUUCAUCACACCUGAAUCAAAUACAUGCCAUAUACAGACCUGUGGAGUACUUUGACUGACAUGCUGUAGUAAUUAAACCAUUCAAUUCAGGUGUGUUGAAGUGAGGAAACAACCAGGAGUUACAGGAGGAUGCAUGGCUCCUCUGGUGUUAACGCUGAGGACACUGGAUGACCGCACUGCCCACCCAACAAGCCCCUGACAUCUUCAACCAAAGAGAUGUGGAAACUGGAUUUGCUUUCUUUACAAAACAAUAGCAGCUGGAUAAGUUGGGUGUCGAAAUAUUCUUUCAACACCAAUCAACGACUCAUACGGGCUGGAGCAACAUGUCACACGGUUAACUUUCUCCCCCCCCCCCCCGUAAAAACCCGUGUUCUUAUUCCGUAUGCGGACCGCGUCCACCUCCUGUGAUGGGUUUAUAAAUGCAGAGUCCGGGAGCAUUUUCCUUUUCACGCCCGGCGAGUCUCUGCGUGAGGACGGCACCGACCGAGCAUCUUCCUUUUCUGACGGAGAGAGGGAGAGGGAGGGAGAUCGAGAGAGGGAAAGGAGGAGAAAGGACAGACCUCACCCGCACCUCAGUCUGCUCUGAACCUUUCUACCGGACCGCAGUGGAUGGAUCAACAGCGCAAGAUGUGAAAAAAAAAGGGAGGCUUCUUUCUUCUUUUUUAUUUUCGGCAGGCUGCAGAGUGUUUGAUCACAGGAGCUUCUUCGCGCACAGAGAGGGAUCAGCUGCCUCGCUUUUUCUCUCUGCGCUCUUCCCUCAACGGGGAAGUGGGAUGCGGGUUACGCAGCAUCACCGGCGCCGUCGUUGCAAUCAUCCUCACAGAUACACCUUCCACUUCUUAAGGCCUAUCAGAUUGUGAGCCCGUGGAACAAUA
This is a long non-coding RNA of Poecilia latipinna (sailfin molly), 933 nucleotides long. RefSeq lists it as uncharacterized. The transcript is spliced from 3 exons. The record is from RefSeq and is a predicted model, not a curated record. NCBI's taxonomy places the organism in Eukaryota, Metazoa, Chordata, Actinopteri, Cyprinodontiformes, Poeciliidae.